This 253-nucleotide long non-coding RNA is filed under the name Elaeis guineensis (African oil palm). Its description in RNAcentral is "long non-coding RNA (EGUI_LNC054931)". The record is from RNAcentral. Lineage: Eukaryota; Viridiplantae; Streptophyta; Magnoliopsida; Arecales; Arecaceae.
GUGGCCCAUCAUAUAAAGGAAGUGAUGAAGUAGGAGUGUGGUAAGUCGGCCUACUAGGUAGAUACUGGUGACCAUCAGGGAGAUUCUCAUCAAUGAAGAUCUUGUUUUAAAAGGUUCGGAGGGCUGAGAAGUCUUCUUUUUCUUCCACUUUUAGUAGACUUUUUUAGUAGUAUAGUCCUAAUAUUUAUGUACUCCUAGAGACCCAACUGGCUUGCAACAUCCUUGCUCGUACUUGGCAUUAUUUUUCAGUGUC